This 497-nucleotide ribosomal RNA is filed under the name uncultured bacterium. Its description in RNAcentral is "partial 16S ribosomal RNA". It matches the Rfam family "Bacterial small subunit ribosomal RNA", at positions 28 to 507 of the family's 1533-position model. The record is from RNAcentral.
GAUGAACGCUGGCGGCGUGCCUAAUACAUGCAAGUCGAGCGAACGGACGAUAAGCUUGCUUCUUUGAUGUUAGCGGCGGACGGGUGAGUAACACGUGGAUAACCUACUUAUAUUACUGGGAUAAUUUCGGGAAACCGUAUCUAAUACCGGAUAAUAUUUUGAACCGCAUGGUUCAAAAGUGAAAGACGGUCUUGCUGUCACUUAUAGCUGGAUCCGCGCUGCAUUAGAUAGUUGGUAAGGUAACGGCUUACCAAGGCUACGAUGCAUAGCCGACCUGAGAGGGUGAUCGGCCACACUGGAACUGAGACACGGUCCAGACUCCUACGGGAGGCAGCAGUAGGGAAUCUUCCGCAAUGGGCGAAAGCCUGACAGAGCAACGCCGCGUGAGUGAUGAAGGUCUUCGGAUCGUAAAGCUCUGUUAUUGGGGAAGAACAGAUGUGGAAGUAACUGUAGACAUCUUGACGGUACCUAAUCAAAAAGCAACGGCUAACUACGUG